CCUACGGGUGGCAGCAGUGGGGAAUAUUGGGCAAUGGACGCAAGUCUGACCCAGCAACGCCGCGUGAAGGAAGAAGGCUUUCUGGUUGUAAACUUCUUUUAAGGGGGAAGAGCAGCAGACUGUACCCCUUGAAUCAGCCACGGCUAACUACGUGCCAGCAGCCGCGGUAAUACGGAGGAUGCGAGCGUUAUCCGGAUUCAUUGGGUUUAAAGGGUGCGCAGGCGGGCCUUUAAGCCGGCGGUGAAAUCGCGGGGCUCAACCCCGCCGAGCCGUCGGAACUGGGGGCCUUGAGUGCGGCGGAGGCAGGCGGAAUGCGCGGUGUAGCGGUGAAAUGCAUAGAUAUCGCGCAGAACCCCGAUUGCGAAGGCAGCGUGCCGUGCCGCCACUGACGCUGAGGCACGAAAGCGCGGGGAUCGAACAGGAUUAGAUACCCUAGUAGUC
Molecule: ribosomal RNA, 441 nt
Filed under: uncultured bacterium
Lineage: Bacteria
Description: partial 16S ribosomal RNA
Rfam family: Bacterial small subunit ribosomal RNA
Source: RNAcentral